UUGGAGGGCAAGUCUGGUGCCAGCAGCCGCGGUAAUUCCAGCUCCAAUAGCGUAUAUUAAAGUUGUUGCAGUUAAAAAGCUCGUAGUUGAACUUCGGGGUCUACCCAUUGGUCAGGCUUAAUUGUCUGCACUGGUGAGAUGGAUCUCUACCUUCUGAGGAACUUUCAUGCCAUUUAUUUAGUGAGAUUGGAAAUCAGGACUGUUACUUUGAAAAAAUUAGAGUGUUUAAAGCAGACUAUCGUCUGAAUACAUUAGCAUGGAAUAAUGAAAUAGGACGGACUGAUUCUAUUUCGUUGGUUUCUAGGAUCACCGUAAUGAUUAAUAGGGAUAGUUGGGGGCAUUAGUAUUCAAUUGUCAGAGGUGAAAUUCUUGGAUUUAUUGAAGACUAACUACUGCGAAAGCAUUUGCCAAGGAUGUUUUCAUUAAUCAAGAACGAAAGUUAGGGGAUCGAAGACGAUCAGAUACCGUCGUAGUCUUAACCAUAAACUAUGCCGACUAGGGAUCGGACGAAGUUAAUUUUAUAAUGACGCGUUCGGCGCCUUACGGGAAAC
Molecule: ribosomal RNA, 551 nt
Filed under: uncultured Glomeromycotina
Lineage: Eukaryota; Fungi; Glomeromycota
Description: SSU rRNA
Rfam family: Eukaryotic small subunit ribosomal RNA
Source: RNAcentral